AUUGAACGCUAGCGGGAUGCUUUACACAUGCAAGUCGAACGAGUGGCGGACGGGUGAGUAAUAUAUCGGAACGUGCCCAGUAGCGGGGGAUAACUACUCGAAAGAGUGGCUAAUACCGCCUACUAUUGGAGCGGCCGAUAUCGGAUUAGCUAGUUGGUUGGGUAAAGGCUCACCAAGGCAACGAGCCGUAGCGGGGUUGAGAGGACGACCAGCCACAGUGGGAUUGAGACACGGCCCAGACUCCUACUGGAGGCAGCAGUGGGGAAUUUUGGACAAUGGGGGAAACCCUGAUCCAGCCAUCCCGCGUGUAUGAGAAGGCCUUCGGGUUGUAAAGUACUUUUGGCAGAGAAGCGGUAUCUGCAGAAUAAGCACCGGCGAACUACGUGCCAGCCGCCGCGUAAUUC
Molecule: ribosomal RNA, 404 nt
Filed under: uncultured bacterium
Lineage: Bacteria
Description: partial 16S ribosomal RNA
Rfam family: Bacterial small subunit ribosomal RNA
Source: RNAcentral